AAGGUGAGAUAAUGAAAUUGAAAUGAGAUAGUGUGAGGAUAAUGAAGCAUUUGAAAUUCAAAUACGGUACAAAAAAGAGUGGGAAUUAAAAAGACUAUUUUGUGAAGGACACAGUCCCAUCGGUCAGCAAAAGCUAAGGAAAGUAAAAAAAAAAAGUGUAUUUCCUUGUACUUUAACUCAGAUUUGUUUAAGUCAAAGAAAUAAAUGUGCUUAGUCUAAACUGCCCUCACAAAUGCUUACGUGGAAGUCUAAAUUGAAAGGCUAGUAAUGUAAAAUCCUCAGUAUCUUAUUUUCUCAAGUUAUAUCUGGAUAGUUCCCAAUAACAUAUUAAAAUAUUAUUUUAGAUUUCUUUAAAAUUUUACAUUGGUGAUUUAUAUAAGGCAAAAUAAUUGUCCCUUAACUUGAUUUCCGUUAACACUUN
RNAcentral lists this long non-coding RNA (421 nucleotides) under Trifolium pratense (red clover). Its description in RNAcentral is "long non-coding RNA (TPRA_LNC009990)". Lineage: Eukaryota; Viridiplantae; Streptophyta; Magnoliopsida; Fabales; Fabaceae. The record is from RNAcentral.